GCAGUGGUGGUUCAGUGGUAGAAUUCUCUCCUUCCAUGCAGGAGACCUGGGCUCAAUUCCCAACCAAUGCA
Molecule: transfer RNA, 71 nt
Organism: Loxodonta africana (African savanna elephant)
Lineage: Eukaryota; Metazoa; Chordata; Mammalia; Proboscidea; Elephantidae
Rfam family: tRNA
About the family: Transfer RNA (tRNA) molecules are approximately 80 nucleotides in length. Their secondary structure includes four short double-helical elements and three loops (D, anti-codon, and T loops).
Source: Rfam